This 473-nucleotide ribosomal RNA is filed under the name uncultured Actinomycetales bacterium. Its description in RNAcentral is "bacterial SSU rRNA". It matches the Rfam family "Bacterial small subunit ribosomal RNA", at positions 91 to 578 of the family's 1533-position model. Lineage: Bacteria; Bacillati; Actinomycetota; Actinomycetes; Actinomycetales. The record is from RNAcentral.
AUCAGUGGCGAACGGGUGAGUAACACGUGAGUAACCUGCCCAUGGCUCUGGGAUAACCUGGGGAAACCGAGGCUAAUACCGGAUAUGACGCGCACAGGCAUCUGUUGCGUGUGGAAAGUUUUUCGGCCAUGGAUGGGCUCGCGGCCUAUCAGCUUGUUGGUGGGGUAAUGGCCUACCAAGGCGACGACGGGUAGCCGGCCUGAGAGGGUGAUCGGCCACACUGGGACUGAGACACGGCCCAGACUCCUACGGGAGGCAGCAGUGGGGAAUAUUGCGCAAUGGGCGAAAGCCUGACGCAGCGACGCCGCGUGAGGGAUGAAGGCCUUCGGGUUGUAAACCUCUUUCAGCUCUGACGAAGCGAAAGUGACGGUAGGAGCAGAAGAAGCACCGGCUAACUACGUGCCAGCAGCCGCGGUAAUACGUAGGGUGCAAGCGUUGUCCGGAAUUAUUGGGCGUAAAGAGCUCGUAGGCGG